Molecule: non-coding RNA, 2642 nt
Organism: Ictidomys tridecemlineatus (thirteen-lined ground squirrel)
Lineage: Eukaryota; Metazoa; Chordata; Mammalia; Rodentia; Sciuridae
Source: RefSeq, a predicted model, not a curated record
AGCCUCCUGUCCUCCGGGCUCUGCUGUCCAGCGUAGGGAUGCUGGCCGCGUCUCCAGGAGAUGCACAGCAGCUGAUGGUGUCCUGGAGGGGACCGGCGGCGGGUUGCUGGCUCCUCCUCUGAGACCGGGAACCGCUUACCUGGCCUCCCAGGCCUCGCUUUCCCCCACUCGUAGGGUGACCUGCUGGGUCCGCCCGGGGUCGGUAUCCACAGGUGGCGGAUCUUUUCCUUUCUCCUCUAGCUUUCAGGGUCACUGCCUCUUGAGCACCCCAGCAUGGUGAUUUCUGUCCUCCAUCCCUCCCUCACCCUGCCCCAACCUCCAGUCCAACCUUGAGCCUGCUUUCCUCCCAGCCCUACGGCUCUGUCAGUGCCCCUGAUGGCCCCCUCCGUGGGCCUUUCUCCCAACAGAGAGCAGUGACCUGGGCAGGGCUACUGCUUCACUGGUCAGCUCAGGGUCCCCUCCUGGACAUGGGUGCCCUAUUCCCACUCUUGGAGCAUCUUACUCCUGUCCCUUCUUCACACCCACCCCCUGGCCACCCCAGGGCCAGAGUCUGCCUGGUCACCUCUGCUGAAGAACACUGGGCCACCCUGGAGAGGGGAUUCUGAACGGAGAAAACUUACAGCAGCUUUUUAUCUCAGGACAGUUUCCUUAGAGGAGUGUCAGGAACCAGCCAAGGAACCUGGCAACGAUGGCCCAGCUACGUGAGGCCAACAGACGUGAUUACCACACAGGAUGUUGGGCAAGGGAGUUCCAGGAAGACCGGAGAGCAGAGGGACACCAAGCUCUCUGAGCCUCAGCGAAGAUUUAGGUCAUACCAGCAGAGUCUGGGUUGGACCUGGGCCAUUGUUUCGCUGUGUCCACCUUGGAAACCAGUUGAUCUUGCUAACUCCGACCCCAGCCACCAAGGGCCACUAGACACAGCUGGCCACCAGGACCGCCGUCACCAGGAACCAGGUGUGCCCGCGGCCCUGUGCCCCAGGAGGAGGGGAAACCCUGUGACCAGAUUGUCUGUGGUUUGUCGCAUGCUGCAUGAGGAAGGCCUCGGGGCAGGUCAUGGAGCGACUUAGGUUUGGAUUUUCCUUCCUGGUCUUUGAACUUGGAAUAGGCCAAAGCCAGGGUUAACUCAGCCAGCUUCAAACCAUGGAAAGUGAGGCCCGGCGAGAUGAAUGACUCACAGAGCUGUCUGUGGAGUUAGAAAUAAAGUCACGUUGCAGUUUCUAUUUUCAGGUACCACUCCCUAAGUCAGCGCUACUUGCUGGCUCCGUGCUUUUCGCAGGGGGUAGGAGGGGAGGGAACAGGUGCCGUAGAUUUCAGCCACAUCUAGAUCUUCCCAUCCCCGGACACGAGGUGUCUCAGAACUCUUUUUUUUUUUUUUUUUUAAUUUUUCACAAUUGGCUUCGUAAAGUAGUGAUGAUUUAGUUUUUAUUGCUGCCACAACAGUUUACCACAAUUAAGCGCAGGUUUAUUUUCUCACUGUUGCAGAGGUCAGAAGUCGGACCCGGGCCCCACUGGGGUGAGGUGCUACGUGGAAAAGCCAUUUUCUUGUUCACACAGUGCAUUAGGCACUUUCUGCUGCCCAGGGCAGAAUUCAGUGCCUUGUGGUUUUAAGAAUAAAAUCUCCAUUUUCCUUCCGGCUUCAGCUGAGAGUAUCCCAGCUAGGAAUAUCCUUGGUUUGUGGGGCCUCCCUCCAUCUGCUAGGCCAGCAAUGGAAGGUGGGGUGCCGAAAAUUCCUCCUUCUUUUAUCAGGGUCACCUCUGACUCGGCUGGGAAAGGGUCUCUGCUCACUGGACUGGAUUAGGGACAUCUGUGUAAUCCAAAAUACUUUCCCCAUCUCAGAAGCUGUACCCUUAAUCACCUGGACUCCUUUAAGGAGUUGUUACUUUUCCUACCACAAAUUAUAAAUUUACAGAUGAUUCCAACCCGCCCCCCUUGUGUGUGUGGGUGGGGGGUGGGGGUGUUCCUGGGAAUUGAACUUAGGGCCUUGCACGUGCUAGGUGUGUGCUGUACUUUUGAGCUCCAUCCCCAGCCCUUUUUAUCUUUUAUUUUGAGACAGGGUCUCACCAAGUUGCCCAGCCUGGCCUUAAACUUGUGAUCUUUCUGCCUGAGCAGCUGGAAUUACAGGCUCAACCCCUCUUGAUUAUGCAGCAUCUUUAUCACAUCAAUUUUUAUAAGAACCUUAUUGAGGUAAUAAGAUAACCUUAUUCGCAUUCUAUACAAUUCACUGGCUUAAAUGUGCAACUCAGGGGUUUUUAGUAUGUUCAGUUGUGUGACCAUCUCCACAACCAAACUUAGAACGUUUUCAUCACCCAGACAGGGAUCCCUGUACCCAUUAGAAUCACUGCCUAUUUUCCCCCAAACUUCUAAAAUCACUAAUAGGUUUUCUGUCUUUGUGGACUUGCAGAUUCUGGACAUUUCAUAGAAACAGACCGUACAAAUGAGGCCUUUUGUGUCUAAACAUACUUGUGUCUGUCUGUAUGUUUUCAAGGAUCCUAUGUAUUAUAGCAUGUAUCAGCAUUUCACCCCUUCUCAUUGCUAAAUAUAUUUCAUUGUGUAUUCUUAUGAAAUAAUAUUUAAUUGUGAUUAAUUUAAUUGUACUUAAAUGAAUAAUGUUUAAUUAAAUAAAUAAUGUUUAAUCGCGUGGA